Acyrthosiphon pisum (pea aphid) is the source of this 471-nucleotide long non-coding RNA. RefSeq lists it as uncharacterized. The record is from RefSeq and is a predicted model, not a curated record. NCBI's taxonomy places the organism in Eukaryota, Metazoa, Arthropoda, Insecta, Hemiptera, Aphididae. The transcript has 2 exons.
UUAUAUUAAGACCAGUAAAUUGUAUUUUAUUACAGAAAGCGAUCUAUUGUGGGCUAGUGAAACUGAUCGUGAUGAAUGGGAAGAAGCCCAAAACCAAUUGAAGAAUUCCAUUUUUCCUGAAUCUGACUUUACGAUGUUGAAUGUUUAUACCCAAUGGAAGCAUAAUUGAGUUAUUCAGCAUCAUGGUGUAAGAAACAUUUCAUUAACUUAAAAGCUAUGCGCAAAAUUUGUGAAGGGAGACAACAACUUAAAGAAAUGGAUCAACAGAAAAUAAAAAUUAUACUCUGUUUUGCGGUUUGGGACAUUAUUCGUAAAUGUAAAUAUUCAGACAAUUAGUGAUUCAAAAUUAUUAUGUUUAUUAUUUUUAUAAAUUGUGCAUUGUAUUUAUUUGGGAAAUUUGUUAAUAUUCUAUAGCUUACUGAUCAAUUAUUUAAGUAUCUACUUACCAAUAAAAUGUCCCAGGAUCAUAUA